GGUCUGCGCGGAAGAUGUAACGGGGCUAAACUAUGCACCGAAGCUGCGGAUUCAUCUUAGGAUGAGUGGUAGGGGAGCGUUCUGUAAGCGGUUGAAGGUGUACCGGGAGGUAUGCUGGACGUAUCAGAAGUGCGAAUGCUGACAUGAGUAACGAUAAUGCGGGUGAAAAACCCGCACGCCGGAAGACCAAGGGUUCCUAUCCCAUGUUA
Molecule: non-coding RNA, 209 nt
Organism: Pseudoalteromonas sp. P1-25
Lineage: Bacteria; Pseudomonadati; Pseudomonadota; Gammaproteobacteria; Alteromonadales; Pseudoalteromonadaceae
Source: Rfam